Molecule: unclassified non-coding RNA, 211 nt
Filed under: uncultured Agaricus
Lineage: Eukaryota; Fungi; Basidiomycota; Agaricomycetes; Agaricales; Agaricaceae
Description: sequence contains ITS2
Source: RNAcentral
AAUUCUCAACUCUCUUAUACUGUUUGGUAAAAGAGAGCUUGGACUGUGGAGGCUUGCUGGCCACUCGUUUGAGGUCAGCUCCUCUGAAAUGCAUUAGCGGAACCGUUUGCGAUCUGCCACAAGUGUGAUAAAUUAUCUGCACUGGCGAGGGGAUUGCUCUCAGUAAUGUUCAGCUUCUAAUUGUCUCUAUUUUGUGAGACUACUUUUGAAU